This 432-nucleotide ribosomal RNA is filed under the name Rhizobium sp. S24543. RNAcentral describes it as "bacterial SSU rRNA". It matches the Rfam family "Bacterial small subunit ribosomal RNA", at positions 29 to 508 of the family's 1533-position model. The record is from RNAcentral. Lineage: Bacteria; Pseudomonadati; Pseudomonadota; Alphaproteobacteria; Hyphomicrobiales; Rhizobiaceae.
AACGAACGCUGGCGGCAGGCUUAACACAUGCAACUCGAGCGCCUCGCAAGAGAAGCGGCAGACGGGUGAGUAACGCGUGGGAAUCUACCCAUCUCUACGGAACAACUCCGGGAAACUGGAGCUAAUACCGUAUACGUCCUUCGGGAGAAAGAUUUAUCGGAGAUGGAUGAGCCCGCGUUGGAUUAGCUAGUUGGUGGGGUAAUGGCCUACCAAGGCGACGAUCCAUAGCUGGUCUGAGAGGAUGAUCAGCCACACUGGGACUGAGACACGGCCCAGACUCCUACGGGAGGCAGCAGUGGGGAAUAUUGGACAAUGGGCGAAAGCCUGAUCCAGCCAUGCCGCGUGAGUGAUGAAGGCCCUAGGGUUGUAAAGCUCUUUCAACGGUGAAGAUAAUGACGGUAACCGUAGAAGAAGCCCCGGCUAACUUCGUGC